UUAUCACGGGAGACACACGGCGGGUGCUAACGUCCGUCGUGAAGAGGGAAACAACCCAGACCGCCAGCUAAGGUCCCAAAGUCAUGGUUAAGUGGGAAACGAUGUGGGAAGGCCCAGACAGCCAGGAUGUUGGCUUAGAAGCAGCCAUCAUUUAAAGAAAGCGUAAUAGCUCACUGGUCGAGUCGGCCUGCGCGGAAGAUGUAACGGGGCUAAACCAUGCACCGAAGCUGCGGCAGCGACACUAUGUGUUGUUGGGUAGGGGAGCGUUCUGUAAGCCUGCGAAGGUGUGCUGUGAGGCAUGCUGGAGGUAUCAGAAGUGCGAAUGCUGACAUAAGUAACGAUAAAGCGGGUGAAAAGCCCGCUCGCCGGAAGACCAAGGGUUCCUGUCCAACGUUAAUCGGGGCAGGGUGAGUCGACCCCUAAGGCGAGGCCGAAAGGCGUAGUCGAUGGGAAACAGGUUAAUAUUCCUGUACUUGGUGUUACUGCGAAGGGGGGACGGAGAAGGCUAUGUUGGCCGGGCGACGGUUGUCCCGGUUUAAGCGUGUAGGCUGGUUUUCCAGGCAAAUCCGGAAAAUCAAGGCUGAGGCGUGAUGACGAGGCACUACGGUGCUGAAGCAACAAAUGCCCUGCUUCCAGGAAAAGCCUCUAAGCAUCAGGUAACAUCAAAUCGUACCCCAAACCGACACAGGUGGUCAGGUAGAGAAUACCAAGGCGCUUGAGAGAACUCGGGUGAAGGAACUAGGCAAAAUGGUGCCGUAACUUCGGGAGAAGGCACGCUGAUAUGUAGGUGAAGUCCCUCGCGGAUGGAGCUGAAAUCAGUCGAAGAUACCAGCUGGCUGCAACUGUUUAUUAAAAACACAGCACUGUGCAAACACGAAAGUGGACGUAUACGGUGUGACGCCUGCCCGGUGCCGGAAGGUUAAUUGAUGGGGUCAGCGCAAGCGAAGCUCUUGAUCGAAGCCCCGGUAAACGGCGGCCGUAACUAUAACGGUCCUAAGGUAGCGAAAUUCCUUGUCGGGUAAGUUCCGACCUGCACGAAUGGCGUAAUGAUGGCCAGGCUGUCUCCACCCGAGACUCAGUGAAAUUGAACUCGCUGUGAAGAUGCAGUGUACCCGCGGCAAGACGGAAAGACCCCGUGAACCUUUACUAUAGCUUGACACUGAACAUUGAGCCUUGAUGUGUAGGAUAGGUGGGAGGCUUUGAAGUGUGGACGCCAGUCUGCAUGGAGCCGACCUUGAAAUACCACCCUUUAAUGUUUGAUGUUCUAACGUUGACCCGUAAUCCGGGUUGCGGACAGUGUCUGGUGGGUAGUUUGACUGGGGCGGUCUCCUCCUAAAGAGUAACGGAGGAGCACGAAGGUUGGCUAAUCCUGGUCGGACAUCAGGAGGUUAGUGCAAUGGCAUAAGCCAGCUUGACUGCGAGCGUGACGGCGCGAGCAGGUGCGAAAGCAGGUCAUAGUGAUCCGGUGGUUCUGAAUGGAAGGGCCAUCGCUCAACGGAUAAAAGGUACUCCGGGGAUAACAGGCUGAUACCGCCCAAGAGUUCAUAUCGACGGCGGUGUUUGGCACCUCGAUGUCGGCUCAUCACAUCCUGGGGCUGAAGUAGGUCCCAAGGGUAUGGCUGUUCGCCAUUUAAAGUGGUACGCGAGCUGGGUUUAGAACGUCGUGAGACAGUUCGGUCCCUAUCUGCCGUGGGCGCUGGAGAACUGAGGGGGGCUGCUCCUAGUACGAGAGGACCGGAGUGGACGCAUCACUGGUGUUCGGGUUGUCAUGCCAAUGGCACUGCCCGGUAGCUAAAUGCGGAAGAGAUAAGUGCUGAAAGCAUCUAAGCACGAAACUUGCCCCGAGAUGAGUUCUCCCUGACUCCUUGAGAGUCCUGAAGGAACGUUGAAGACGACGACGUUGAUAGGCCGGGUGUGUAAGCGCAGCGAUGCGUUGAGCUAACCGGUACUAAUGAACCGUGAGGCUUAACCUU
RNAcentral lists this ribosomal RNA (1973 nucleotides) under Escherichia coli 1-176-05_S1_C3. RNAcentral describes it as "bacterial LSU rRNA". It matches the Rfam family "Bacterial large subunit ribosomal RNA", at positions 972 to 2925 of the family's 2925-position model. Lineage: Bacteria; Pseudomonadati; Pseudomonadota; Gammaproteobacteria; Enterobacterales; Enterobacteriaceae. The record is from RNAcentral.